RNAcentral lists this long non-coding RNA (236 nucleotides) under Mytilus galloprovincialis (Mediterranean mussel). The record is from RNAcentral. Lineage: Eukaryota; Metazoa; Mollusca; Bivalvia; Mytilida; Mytilidae.
CACCCUUUGGUAUCAUUGGCCUCUAUUGUUAAGCAUUGAAAUCAAUAUUGCUUAGAUGAAAGUAGCUUACACUUGUUGAUUUUGCCUUUGAAAUAUCAGAUCUGAUAUCAACCUUAUAUUUUGAUAAGUAGUUGCUUGAUCCAGAUGCAUGCACAUAAAUCAACACCUGCAUAAGUAAAGUGUAUAUUGGUAAAAAUGAAUUAUUACUGUAAAUAUAUGUAACACAUGCAUUAUAU